UCAGUGCAUGGUGCUGCAUCAAAUGAAAACUACAAUACAUACCUUCCGAGCAUGCAGCAAUAUAUAAGAAUAUAUAUGUAUUCUAAAACAUGCAGCAAGUAUAUAUAUAUAUGACUUAAACAAUGAAAGUGCAGCAGCAAUCCAAGACUAAAAAACCUUAUUCUCAUAUAGCAGCAGCAUCCUUUUCACUUUCACGAAACGCAAAGGCAGCAACACAAAAACUCUUUUGUUUGUCUUUCAAAACAUGCAGCAAUAUCGGAAUGCGACGGCAACACCAAAACUUAAAAAAAACCUUUCUAAUCUCUACAGCCGUGCUAAACCAAGUAAUUAGGACCCCUAUUUAUAUGUGUGUAUAUAUGCUAGGGUUUUUUAAGCUGACUUAAAAUUAUGGGCUUAAACUAAAGCAUAGUUAAACUAAAUGGCCCAUUGAAUGCAAACUUAGACUAUAUGAAUAUGCAUGCCAAAUUUACCUGAGUGGAUGUCUUUGAAAACACUUGCCAUUUUGUGAUUGAGAGCACGUGAGACAAACUUAAACUAAAAUAAUUACAACUGAAAACAAGCACUAGUCUAAGAUUACAGACUUAGGCGUUUUGUUUAGGAAUAGCCAAUUUUACCCUAACAAUCUCCCCCUUUGGCAUUUCCUAGACAAAACCCUCAAUCACAAUAUUACAGACAUAUAAUAUUAUUAAAGACCAUGCAUAACAUCAAAGUCUGUAACCUGCACACACUCAAACAAGAAAACCUGUGACGCACGAAAGAUAUAAGUUUCUGAAAAUAAAAGUAUUUAUCUAUGAAAGCAAGCAACAAAAAAACAAUCAGGUUUUCGAAUUUCUAUUUCUCCCCCUAAAUAUAAGCUUCCUACUUCUCCCCCUUUUUGUCUAGAAAGGUCAAAGGCCUUAGAGGUAACCAUCAGGUGCAGUCAGCGGAAGAUAAGUGGAACAUAACAAAAUAUGAUGGAGAAAGAUUUCCUUUCUAUGAACUAGGACCUCUUCGGAAGAAUAAAAGUGGGGACGAAAUUGGGAGGGAAAAGAAUGCAAGUGCAAUAGUCGAAAAGAGAAACAUGAAAAGAAAUGCAUCUUUCAUAUUGUUAAGCUCCCCCUAAACAAAUGCUUAAAAAAAUUAAUGAAAUGCAACACACAAAUGAUAUGAUUUUUUAUUUUUUUUAUUUUUUACUUUUUUUUAAAUUGUAUGAGAAGCAUAUAAUUGUUCCAACAAGAAUGAAAGAGUGCAAAAACACAUGUAGUUCUGAAUCCUCAUUCACAAGCUAACAUUGUCCCUAAAACAUAACAUGUAUGAGUGUAGUUGCAAGUAUAGCCGAAAGUUGAUUCUACACAAAUGUAAUUAAGUCUUACAGGACCAUCUUACUUUAACCCUUAAACUCACAAGAUAUACGCUCGAAUUUUCAUUCAAAGUGUUUGGGGGUAAGUGUAUACGCUCAAAAGAUCAUUACAUGAAUGUUCUACCAUAGGCUUGCAGAUUGAUCUCAUCUCCACACAUCAAAAAUUACCUUCUUUGGAUCAAGUAGGUCUUUGUGAAGGGUUGUAAUGGGGCUUCAGGUACUCGGUUAAAGAAAUGAAGGAUAUAGGAAACACAAAGUCUAAGAAACUAAUAGAGUAGUUGGAAAUGAAACCAAGAGAGAAAUACAACAACGAACCAGGUAACUUAGCACUCAAUUGAGCGGUUGGAUUUAAGACAUGAACGACAUACAACCGCACAAUUCAUUUCAGAUGAUUCUUGCUCUUCAUUUAGACCAACACACUUGAUUUCUUAUAAUGCUAGCAGCUCACUUAUGAUUCAUAGUGACUUCUUUUCCUCUUUUCUUCUUUUGCUUUUCAUGUGUUGUUGGCUUUCUUCACAAAAUUUUGCAUCUUCAACUUUUAAAUAACAUUGAACUCUCUCCUUUGAAAAACGUACUCUACUAGCUUCUUAGUAGGGUAGGGAAUUUUUAAUGUAAGAGGCUAGGUAAGGAAAAUGUAGGUUUAAGAACAAAAGACUUACAUAUAGGCUCAAAAGGGUUAACUAGGGGAAAACAUAUAAGGCACUGCCAUAUAUGGCAAUGAUGGUAAGUCCUAAUGCCUACUAUCGUCUCCAAAAUAGAAUAAUAUAUGAUACAAAGUUUUGAGAGGUCUCAAAGCAAGUUCUAAAGAAGCAAAACACAUAAGAUCACACACAUGAAAAAAAUAAGAGUGUAUGAAAAAUGCACACACUAUAUUUAGGCACAAAAGCUCACAUGGGUGCGGGUUUUACUCAAGUUAAACAUGUUCAACUCAUUAACAUUGAUAUAUUAUCAACAAGAGGCUAUUGUCCACAACAGAGUCAAACAUAUCAUGCUAGGGUCAUGUUAUCAAGUGAACAAAGCUAGAACUCAUAUGAAAUCAUACUUUUCCAUUUUUCCUCAUACAUUUUUUUUUUAAUUUUUUUUUUUUUUUUUAACAAGAAGAAAGACAAAAAAUGCAGUAUUUAUGCUAUAUGAACAUGCAAGCAUGCAUUAAUGAAAACAUUUGCAAAGAGAGAGCUUAGUCAAUAUAAACAACUUGAAAGUGGAGAUAAAUUGACAAGUACACCACUUUGAUUCUCUUUUCUUCUCCAAAUUUGUCUUACUUUUGGAACUACCGUACUUGGAACAGAUAUAAUUCUUGCAAUCCGAUUAAUCUCUUUCAAAUAAGUCACAAAUUGUUCCUUAAGAUUUUCUUUUUCAAAGUUCCUUGAAACUUUUUCUUGAGAAGAAUUUUUCUUUCUAAGCUUAUUGCACUUAGGCCGGAUGUGACCAGGAAUCCCACAAAGAUGACAUAUAGGAAUGAACUUCCUAGAUUGUUUGGGUUUGUUAAGAUUAAUUGAAGUCAAAGUCUUGACAGGAUUUGACACAUGUGCAAAGAUUGUAGAUGUUUCGGGAGUAAGACCUAAACAUUUAUCGUCACCUACUUUCAAACUAGGAAUAUCAGAGGCUUUGACAAAUCUGGUGACAGAAGAAGAACUUGCAGUCUUUGUAGACUCGAAUCCUAGACCUCCUUUGUCUCCAAAACUUUUUCCAUAGCUAAGCAUCUUGUCAAUUUUCCCCGAACCUAUGCUCAACUCAUGAACUUUUCUUCUCAUCUCAACCACUUCGUCCUCAAGAGCUUUCUUAUCAGACGAGAGAGUGUUAAUUGUGGUUUGUAGAAUGUGAAUCUUCUCUAACAGCGACUCUCGCAGUUUCUCUCCAUUGUCCAACUGAGAUUGAUGCUCAACUUCAGCUUCUUUCUUUUCACUUUCAACAAAUGCAAGUUUCUUCUUCAAGUUAGAGUUAUCCUUUUUUACUUGCACACUGAUAUCAUAGAGAUCAGAAUAUUUUCUCAAGACUUCUUCCAAGUCAGGUUCUUCAACAAAUGAACCUUCUGUGUCAUAUCCAUCAACAGUUCCUAUAAACGCAAUCGUAUCCUUCUCAGAUUCCGACGUAGAUGCAUCCCCUGAAUCACUAUCGCUCCAAGUGACCUUCAUUGCCCUAUUCUUUUUCUCUUUUCUCUUGAUAGUGUUUGCACACUCAUAAGCAAUGUGUCCAUAGCCUUGACACUCAUGGCACUGAAUCCUAUUGUUAGAACUCCUAUGUUCACUAGUUCUAGAUGAUCUAGAGGCUUUGUCAUGUGAGACAUCUAGAGAACGAAAGUUUUUUGAGUUCGAACCUGAGUUGGUUCGUUGCUCACGACCCUUGGAAUUUUGAGACUUGAGAAGCCUUCUAAUUUGCAUGGUUAAUUCAACCAAUUCAUCUUCGGACAAGUCUUCAAUUGAGCCAUCACUUUCUUCUUCUUUGACAGCUUUGAGAGCAAUGCUUUUCAUCUUCUUAGAAUCAGGAAGCUCUAACUCGUACGUUUGCAGAGACCCAAUCAAUUGCUCAAGCUUGUAGGUGUUUAGAUCUUUCGAUUCCUCAAUCGCUGUCCUCUUAGCAUGAAACCUCAUAGGAAGUGAUCUUAAGAUCUUUUUCACAAUCCUAUGCUCAGGAAUACUGUCACCAAGAUUGUGACAGCCAUUGACAAUUACGCUAAGCUUAGCAUAAAAGUCAGAGAAACUUUCAUCAUCAGACAUUGUGAUAUUUUCGAAUUUUGUGAUGAGAUGUUGAAGUUUGGAUUCUUUAACAGUUGAGUUACCCUCAUGAGUAACUUCAAGAAUGUCCCAAGCUUCUUUCGCCGUUGUACACUUACUUAUGUAAUUGAAUUGUUCAGGCGAAACGGCUGUGAAUAAAGAAUUCAAAGCCCUUUGGUUAAAAGUGCUAGAGCUGCGCUCAUCAUUGCUCCAUUCUUUCCUAGGCUUAAGCUUAGAUAUCGACACAGAGGAUUCUCCUUUAUCUUUAGUUUCUUCAAUCGUUGGAGGUUCCCAACCUUCUUCAACAGCAAGCCACACCUUGUCAUCUUGCGCCCAUAAAAACGAUUUCAUUUUUGACUUCCACGCAGCAUAGUUGUCACCAUCAAAAUGUGGUGGAUGAGAAACUGAACCCAUAGCACGAUUCAUCCUAGACUACCCACGGAUCUCACUAGGUAUUUUUAGUGACCUGCUCUGGUGCCAAUUGAAAGUUCUAGGAUGGUACUAGUUUAACCUAGAGGGGGUGAAUAGGUUCCAAUUUAAAAAUCCAAUUCAAUUUUCAAUUUAAUUUUCAGUUCUCAAAUUAAUUCCACAUUCACAUCACAUAUAAACUAUCCUACACAUAUGCAAUUAUAAAGAUAAAUAAAAUGUGCACACAAGAUGUAGGAUUUAACGAGGCAAAACCCACCACUGGGAAAAUCCUCGGGCUCCCAAGCCAGGACAAACACUAAGAGAAAUGAGUACAGAAAGACUUACAAAACUCAUCAACUAUACACGCAUACUAGUAGGCAAUUUUGUCUCCGCACUUUGCUACUCGAUCUCUCUUCAGCCUUCGAGUGGAAGUGGCACGACACUAAUGCGGCCCGUCAAUCACUGUCGCCUCGAACUUUGCAGAUACUAACGCGAUCAUGCAGAAUGUAUGAAAUGAAAUGAUUUUGAAAAUCAAUCAAUUAUGAAAAUCACAAGGCACAUUUUCAUAAUUGAUUUCAAUUGAAGCACAAUGAAAAACCAGUGAACAAAACUAAAUUUUUCUUUAAAAGAAAAAAUACGUGGAUACAAACUGAUUUUUUUCUACCAUAAACCUCACGGGAAAAAUACGAUUUUUCUUUUGAAAACACAGGCUGCUGACCGACAUGGAAAACAAACUUUCUGCUGUUAUAUGAAUGACGAUGCAUUCAGUGCAUGGUGCUGCAUCAAAUGAAAACUACAAUACAUACCUUCCGAGCAUGCAGCAAUAUAUAAGAAUAUAUAUGUAUUCUAAAACAUGCAGCAAGUAUAUAUAUAUAUGACUUAAACAAUGAAAGUGCAGCAGCAAUCCAAGACUAAAAAACCUUAUUCUCAUAUAGCAGCAGCAUCCUUUUCACUUUCACGAAAACGCAAAGGCAGCAACACAAAAACUCUUUUGUUUG
Molecule: long non-coding RNA, 5459 nt
Filed under: Malus domestica (apple)
Lineage: Eukaryota; Viridiplantae; Streptophyta; Magnoliopsida; Rosales; Rosaceae
Description: long non-coding RNA (MDOM_LNC003972)
Source: RNAcentral